Cuculus canorus (common cuckoo) is the source of this 2070-nucleotide long non-coding RNA. RefSeq lists it as uncharacterized. The record is from RefSeq and is a predicted model, not a curated record. The transcript is spliced from 3 exons. Lineage: Eukaryota; Metazoa; Chordata; Aves; Cuculiformes; Cuculidae.
CUGUCUCACCUCUGUGCCCGGCAAGAUCAUGGAGCAGAUCCUCCUGGAAACUGUACUGAGGCAAUAAGAAAAUAAGGAGGUGGUUGGUGACGUCCAGCAAGGCUCCAUAAGGGGCAAGUCAUGCCUCACGAAUUUGGUGACCUUCUAUGAUGGGCUACAGCACUGGUGGAUAAGGGAAGAGUAACUGACAUUCUCUACCUGGACUUGUAGAGGUCCUCAACACUGUCCCACAUGACAUUCUGGUCUCUAAAGUGGAGCGGUAUAGAUUUGAUGGAUGGACCACUCAGCGGUUUAAGAGGCCCACUGAUGUACAAUAUCGACUCUAACAGAAGAGGACUGACAGGACUGGUUGGACAUCAGUCACUCUACUGGGAUUGUCUCCUGGACAGGGAUGGAAAAGACUGUUCAGCUGAAAGAAAAUUUCAGUUAAUUAACCUUGCUUCCAUUUCCCUUGUGUGGAGGAGUGACCUAGAGAGACCACUGUUUAUAUUUGGCUACUGAAAUACUGCACUGCAAAUACAGGAGAAGGAGUUCAUCUCAUGUAGCUCUCUACUUCCAAGAAAUCCAAGUGCCUCUAGUAUUACGUAAGUCACCCAGGACAUUAGAAUUAAAGUUACUGGGCUAAGGCUCACAUAGCACUGUUCUAUAAUUAGUUGCCAAGUCGAUUCAACAUUUAUUUUAAGUGUAUGAAGUAGAAAAAGAUUCAUGAAUGGAUAAUAAAGAAGGCAUACGUUGUCUGAAUGCAUUAGUUUAAAAAAGUGUUCUUAAAAUACUGUUUUAUUGAAAGCUUGCAUUUGGAGAUCUUAGAUUAUUCUGUUUGCAAGUCAAUACAUUAUGUGCACUAUGCUUGUAUUAAAUUAUUAUGCCUCAGCUAAAUAAGAGUCCUCAUCCCUGAUGUUUCACUUUUAUGAGCCUCCUACAGUAAUGUGCAUAAAGGCACACGGGAGAGAGUAAGAGAAAGAAUUCUUUGUACUUUCACUGUUUAUUGAGCAGUGCAGUUUUUGGGCCAUCAUAAAGACUUGGCACAAUUUGAGCAGUAAAAGAAUAAGCAAAAUCUCUCUUUUGAGAAUAUCCUUUUGAGACUUGCCAAGAUUUCAUUUAGAAUUGUCUAAUUAGCCCGGCCUUCUGACACAGCAUGAAAUGAGGACACAAAGAAGUCACAACUUGUGGGGUGGUGUAGGGCUGUUUCAUGAGUUUCGAAUCAAAAAAUCAACAGAAUGCAACAUGUAUUGUCAGUAUUUAAAGAUAUGGAAAGCCAGACCAUUUGUUAUCAAAUUGAGGUUUUCCACAUUAUAACAACUCUACUUUUGACAGUAAAGAGUCUUGCUAGAUGGGAAUGGGAGUACUUAAUAUCAGUGAUUUGUAACAGAUAGGGUCUAAAAGUCAGAAUUAAAACCUGACAUCAAUAGAUACAAGGUUUUUAUUUGAACAUGAUGUUAAUUAUAUUAAUAUAGAGGUAAAACAACAAUGCUAUGCCUUGUCAAAUGUGAAAAAUAAUAUUUCUGUAACUCAUUUAGAAAUCUUAUAUACAUAUAUACCUUAUAAUGCUCUUUAAACAGCAUAGUGUCUAUUUACUAAACUGCAUUCUUUUCUCCAAAAAUUAGCAUUACUUUAUUAUUUCAUGUAACACAGCGUUUAGCAUUGCCGUGAAAACACUUACUUGUAUACCUUAAUUCUUUUACUGUGUAAUCUUAAAACUGUGGUAGCAUCUUUUCUUUCAUAUGAAAAGCUUCAUGGAUUUCAUAAAACAAUCUAUUUCAUUUCCUAGUUCCCUAUCUUCAGCCUCAUAUCAAACCACCAAAGCAUCACUAAUGAUGCCUUUGCCUAAUUAGUGGGGCCUGUACUGUAAUAAGUUUAUAAUCAAGGACACUGUGUAGUAGUGCUUGCAUUUCUGCAGGGAAAAUUGUUUCUGAACAUACCGAAUUCUUAUACGGCAGCUUACUUUUUUUGUAGCAGAUCGCUUCAUAUUUGUAAAAAGAUACACUUUUAUCCGUAUUUCUGUGUUUACAUAUAAACAUAUUUAGGAAUAGUCAUACAUUAUAUAUAUUAAGAUUUCUUUUAUUAUUAAAA